This 1371-nucleotide ribosomal RNA is filed under the name Klebsiella sp. UIWRF1311. RNAcentral describes it as "partial 16S ribosomal RNA". It matches the Rfam family "Bacterial small subunit ribosomal RNA", at positions 23 to 1385 of the family's 1533-position model. The record is from RNAcentral. Lineage: Bacteria; Pseudomonadati; Pseudomonadota; Gammaproteobacteria; Enterobacterales; Enterobacteriaceae.
CUCAGAUUGAACGCUGGCGGCAGGCCUAACACAUGCAAGUCGAGCGGUAGCACAGAGAGCUUGCUCUCGGGUGACGAGCGGCGGACGGGUGAGUAAUGUCUGGGAAACUGCCUGAUGGAGGGGGAUAACUACUGGAAACGGUAGCUAAUACCGCAUAAUGUCGCAAGACCAAAGUGGGGGACCUUCGGGCCUCAUGCCAUCAGAUGUGCCCAGAUGGGAUUAGCUAGUAGGUGGGGUAACGGCUCACCUAGGCGACGAUCCCUAGCUGGUCUGAGAGGAUGACCAGCCACACUGGAACUGAGACACGGUCCAGACUCCUACGGGAGGCAGCAGUGGGGAAUAUUGCACAAUGGGCGCAAGCCUGAUGCAGCCAUGCCGCGUGUAUGAAGAAGGCCUUCGGGUUGUAAAGUACUUUCAGCGGGGAGGAAGGCGAUAAGGUUAAUAACCUUGUCGAUUGACGUUACCCGCAGAAGAAGCACCGGCUAACUCCGUGCCAGCAGCCGCGGUAAUACGGAGGGUGCAAGCGUUAAUCGGAAUUACUGGGCGUAAAGCGCACGCAGGCGGUCUGUCAAGUCGGAUGUGAAAUCCCCCGGGUUCAMCCUGGGAACUGCAUUCGAAACUGGCAGGCUAGAGUCUUGUAGAGGGGGGUAGAAUUCCAGGUGUAGCGGUGAAAUGCGUAGAGAUCUGGAGGAAUACCGGUGGCGAAGGCGGCCCCCUGGACAAAGACUGACGCUCAGGUGCGAAAGCAUGGGGAGCAAACAGGAUUAGAUACCCUGGUAGUCCACGCCGUAAACGAUGUCGAUUUGGAGGUUGUGCCCUUGAGGCGUGGCUUCSGGAGCUAACGCGUUAAAUCGACCGCCUGGGGAGUACGGCCGCAAGGUUAAAACUCAAAUGAAUUGACGGGGGCCCGCACAAGCGGUGGAGCAUGUGGUUUAAUUCGAUGCAACGCGAAGAACCUUACCUGGUCUUGACAUCCACAGAACUUASCAGAGAUGSUUUGGUGCCUUCGGGAACUGUGAGACAGGUGCUGCAUGGCUGUCGUCAGCUCGUGUUGUGAAAUGUUGGGUUAAGUCCCGCAACGAGCGCAACCCUUAUCCUUUGUUGCCAGCGGUUCGGCCGGGAACUCAAAGGAGACUGCCAGUGAUAAACUGGAGGAAGGUGGGGAUGACGUCAAGUCAUCAUGGCCCUUACGACCAGGGCUACACACGUGCUACAAUGGCAUAUACAAAGAGAAGCGACCUCGCGAGAGCAAGCGGACCUCAUAAAGUAUGUCGUAGUCCGGAUUGGAGUCUGCAACUCGACUCCAUGAAGUCGGAAUCGCUAGUAAUCGUAGAUCAGAAUGCUACGGUGAAUACGUUCCCGGGCCUUGUA